Molecule: small RNA, 107 nt
Filed under: Pan troglodytes (chimpanzee)
Lineage: Eukaryota; Metazoa; Chordata; Mammalia; Primates; Hominidae
Description: processed transcript
Source: RNAcentral
ACUUUGCAGAUACUGUGGCUGCUUUUCACACUGGCUAAGUCAGUUCAUGGCAAAAUAUGAGGGAAUUCACCAAUCCCACUAAUCCUGACGAGGCUGACAAAGUUGGG